Saccostrea cuccullata (small rock oyster) is the source of this 283-nucleotide long non-coding RNA. RefSeq lists it as uncharacterized. The transcript has 3 exons. The record is from RefSeq and is a predicted model, not a curated record. NCBI's taxonomy places the organism in Eukaryota, Metazoa, Mollusca, Bivalvia, Ostreida, Ostreidae.
AAACAUGAUGGUGAUCCGAAAUCUGAACGUCAAUUUUCAUGAUUAUUUCACGACGAAGAUCAUCACAUCAAUGAAUCAAAUAUUACGAACAUGCCUUUGGUAUUAGCAGGGUGCUUUCAGCAUAUGCAACAAUACUUUCAUCUGUGAAUACCCACUUUCUAAGCCCACCAUGAACUAGGAAGGUUAAUUAAUAUGUAAGGACAACAAUGAACAGACACUUUCCAAUUAUCCUACAUCAUAUACAUGGGUGGUCAAACUCACUGGAUGAUUUAUCAACACUCCC